RNAcentral lists this unclassified non-coding RNA (347 nucleotides) under Bombus terrestris (buff-tailed bumblebee). RNAcentral describes it as "misc RNA ENSBTSG00005026255.1". The record is from RNAcentral. Lineage: Eukaryota; Metazoa; Arthropoda; Insecta; Hymenoptera; Apidae.
GUAUUCAAAUUGUCCUAUGUUGAACUUUUUGCCCUCACGAUGCCAUUGAUAUUCAACCGAAUGUUAGAUAAACGUUUCUGUCGGUACAUUUAGCUGGGCGCCAUGUUGAUCCUAUUCUCUAUAUGCCCUUGGUGAAAACAAUUUCUUGGUGACUUCCCUUCGCUUUACAUGGAGAAGUUCCGAGCUCGGGACGGUUGAAGUACAUGCCAAUGUACUAUACAAUUUCUAUACGACGCUUUCCACAGUACUUGCUUUUGAGAAGAAAGUUGGGAUCUUGAAACCAACGUAUGGCAUCUUCGCCAUCUUUUAUUUCAAACAUUAAACGCUGACGGAUCUAUUUUCAUAUU